AGAGUUUGAUUAUGGCUCAGGACGAACGCUGGCGGCGUGCCUAACACAUGCAAGUCGAGCGAGAAAGUCUCCUUCGGGAGAUGAGUAAAGCGGCGAACGGGUGAGUAACACGUGAGCGAUCUGCCCGACGGCGGGGGAUAACUCAGGGAAACUUGAGCUAAUACCGCAUACAGCACCGGCUUGGAAGCCGGAUGUGAAAGCUGGCCUCUCGAUGAAGCUAGCACCGUCGGAUGAGCUCGCGGCCUAUCAGCUUGUUGGGGGGGUAACGGCCUACCAAGGCAAUGACGGGUAGCUGGCGUGAGAGCGUGGCCAGCCACACUGGGACUGAGACACGGCCCAGACUCCUACGGGAGGCAGCAGUGGGGAAUAUUGCGCAAUGGACGAAAGUCUGACGCAGCGACGCCGCGUGGGGGAGGAAGGCCCCAGGGUUGUAAACCCCUGUCAGGUGGGACGAACCACGGAUCGGUCAAUACCCGGUCCGCCUGACGGUACCACCAGAGGAAGCUCCGGCUAACCCCGUGCCAGCAGCCGCGGUAAUACGGAGGGAGCGAGCGUUGUUCGGAAUCACUGGGCGUAAAGCGCGCGUAGGCGGUCGGGUAAGUCGGGUGUGAAAUUCCGGGGCUCAACCCCGUGGACUGCACCCGAUACUGCUCGACUCGAGAGAGGUAGGGGCGAGUGGAAUUCCCGGUGUAGCGGUGGAAUGCGUAGAUAUCGGGAAGAACACCGGUGGCGAACGCGGCUCGCUGGGCCUCAUCUGACGCUGAAGCGCGAAAGCGUGGGGAGCAAACAGGAUUAGAUACCCUGGUAGUCCACGCCGUAAACGAUGGGUACUAGGUGUUGGGAGGAUUGACCCUUUCAGUGCCGACGCUAACGCAUUAAGUACCCCGCCUGGGGAGUACGGCCGCAAGGCUGAAACUCAAAUGAAUUGACGG
RNAcentral lists this ribosomal RNA (932 nucleotides) under uncultured bacterium. Its description in RNAcentral is "bacterial SSU rRNA". It matches the Rfam family "Bacterial small subunit ribosomal RNA", at positions 8 to 916 of the family's 1533-position model. The record is from RNAcentral.